CCUACGGGAGGCAGCAGUCGGGAAUUUUGGGCAAUGGGCGAAAGCCUGACCCAGCAACGCCGCGUGAAGGAUGAAGUAUUUCGGUAUGUAAACUUCGUAAGAAUAGGAAACGGUACUAUUUGUAAGGUCCGGCUAACUACGUGCCAGCAGCCGCGGUAAUACGUAGGGACCAAGCGUUGUUCGGAUUUACUGGGCGUAAAGGGCGCGUAGGCGGCGUGACAAGUCACUUGUGAAAUCUCCGGGCUUAACUCGGAACGGCCAAGUGAUACUGUCGUGCUAGAGUGCAGAAGGGGCAAUCGGAAUUCUUGGUGUAGCGGUGAAAUGCGUAGAUAUCAAGAGGAACACCUGAGGUGAAGACGGGUUGCUGGGCUGAACUGACGCUGAGGCGCGAAAGCUAGGGGAGCAAACGGGAUUAGAUACCCUAGUAGUC
RNAcentral lists this ribosomal RNA (430 nucleotides) under uncultured bacterium. Its description in RNAcentral is "partial 16S ribosomal RNA". It matches the Rfam family "Bacterial small subunit ribosomal RNA", at positions 338 to 795 of the family's 1533-position model. The record is from RNAcentral.